AUGAAGCAAAUAGGAGAGACCCGAAAGGGCGCCGAAGGGGUAAGUAAAACUCGCCAAGUUUUAUGAUACUCUCAGGCAAAAGUACUAUUUGUGGACA
RNAcentral lists this non-coding RNA (97 nucleotides) under Thermobrachium celere. Its description in RNAcentral is "Glycine sequence". It matches the Rfam family "Glycine riboswitch aptamer". Rfam says of the family: This family represents the bacterial glycine riboswitch. Glycine riboswitches usually consist of two metabolite-binding aptamers domains with similar structures in tandem. Lineage: Bacteria; Bacillati; Bacillota; Clostridia; Eubacteriales; Clostridiaceae. The record is from RNAcentral. RNAcentral also lists the same sequence under 1 other name.